AUAGAAUAAAUUAUUUUAAUAUUUUUUAAAUAAAGUAUUAUUUUGUUUUAUUAUAAUAAUAGAAAAAAUUUUUUUAAUUAUAAAUUAAAGUAUAGUGAUAGAAUUUUUAAAUAUUAUGAAAAUUUUAAAUUUUUAAAAGAAUAAUUUAUUUUUAGUACCUUGUGUAUCAGGGUUUAUCAAAAAUAUUUUAUAUAUUUUAAAUAUCUCGAUUUUAAAAGAGUUAAAUAUUUAUAUUUUUUAAUGUUAAAUAAUUAUUAUUAAUAAAUAUUUAGUAAUGAAAUGUUAUUCGUUUUUAAAUAUAUCUAGUUUUUUAAGAAAUAAAUUUAAUUUAUUUAUUAAUAAAAAUGAUUUUUAUUUAGUAAAAUUUUUUUAUUAAUAAAAAAUAUUUUAAGGGAUAAGCUUUAAAAUAAAUUUAUAUAAUAUUUUUAAUUAAAAUUAAAUGUAGGAUUAAAAAUUUCUUUCAAUAAUAAUUUGUUAUAAUUAAUUUUUUAUAAUUAUUUUUUAUAUAAUAUUUAUAUUAUUUAUUAAAAUUAUUUAUUUAAUUUAAUAAUAUUUGUAAUAAUGAUAAAAUUAGUAUAAAUUUUUGUAAAAUUAAUUAUUUAAUAAAGGUUAAUUUAAGGAAUUCGGCAAAUUAAUUUUUCGCCUGUUUAUUAAAAACAUGUCUUUUUGAUAAUAAUUUAAAGUCUAACCUGCCCAAUGAUAUAUUUAAUGGCCGCGGUAUUUUGACCGUGCAAAGGUAGCAUAAUCAUUAGUUUUUUAAUUGAAAGCUGGAAUGAAUGGUUGAACGAGAAAAUUACUGUCUCAAUUUAAUUUAAUUAGAAUUUUAUUUUUAAGUUAAAAAGCUUAAAUAUUUUUAAAAGACGAGAAGACCCUAUAGAGUUUAAUAUUUUAUAUAAUUUAAAUUUUUAUAAUUAUAUAAAUUUUAUAAAAUAUUUUAUUGGGGUGAUAAAUAAAUUUAUUAAACUUUAUUUUUAUUUUUACAUUAAUUUAUGAUUUAUUGAUCCAUUAUUUAUGAUUAAAAGAUUAAAUUACCUUAGGGAUAACAGCGUAAUUUUUUUAGAGAGUUCAAAUCGAAAAAAAAGAUUGCGACCUCGAUGUUGGAUUAAAGUUAAUUUUUGGUGUAGAAGCUAAAAAAUUAAGUCUGUUCGACUUUUAAAACUUUACAUGAUCUGAGUUUAAACCGGUGUGAGCCAGGUUGGUUUCUAUCUUUAAAUAAAUAUAAUAUUUUAGUACGAAAGGACCAAAUAUUAGUAAAAUUUAUUUUUUUUUUAUGAAUAUUAUU
This 1282-nucleotide ribosomal RNA is filed under the name Ochthebius mediterraneus. RNAcentral describes it as "16S ribosomal RNA". The stretch from base 597 to 1282 matches the Rfam family "Archaeal large subunit ribosomal RNA", at positions 1423 to 2807 of the family's 2987-position model. The record is from RNAcentral. Lineage: Eukaryota; Metazoa; Arthropoda; Insecta; Coleoptera; Hydraenidae.